ACUGGUGUCAACUCGGUUCCAUGACACGCCGAGUGUCUGCAGAUUUUUGUGCAACAAUUGAAAGGAAAAAUCUAACAUCUUAGAUCUUAGGAAAGGAGUUUUCAAAAUGUGAGGCACGCCUCCCAAGGAUGGCGCCAGAGAGCUUCAAUGGAUGUGCGAAAGAUAUUAGAACGUAGUCUACGUCAAACAUUAAGGCCUAAGUGAAACGGUUCUCUAAUAUUUAAUACAUAUACAUGUAGACAAAUAUGAUAUCAAUUAUUUAAUGACAUUGACAUUGCUUUUUAGAUUUUGAUUGAGCCAGCAGCAGGGAAACGCUGAAUUUGCGACUAGUUUUACAUCAAAUUACUUUACAGUUGUUGACUACUAGAUGAAGAAAGCGGGGCUGUCUACUUUAUCUUUAUGUUUGAAAGGAAACUAUGCUCGCUGUCUCAGACUUUGAAAACCUCUGAGCUUGGCCCACCGUGGAAUAGGUUUGACACUAUGGACUAUGUCAAUCUGUGGACAUACAUUUAGUCCCACCAACUGAAUGUUGUGUAUCAAAGAGAUGCCACAACAUGUCCUCUUCCUUGAGGUGAUCCUGGCAAAGAGAGAUGCAGCAUCCCUCUGGCUUUGACAUGCAAGCUUGUCACUGACAUUGUCAGUGACUCUCCUUUCAAAAGAAGGCCCUUUAUGCCUGGCUGGAGGCUCCUGAUCGCCCACCGGCUCCAUCUCUCGGUCCGUGCACCGAGGGGGAGCCUCCGCCAGCUCCGGUUCCCGUCCUGAGGUGGAGCCUUCGCCUUCGUGCCCCACCCCCCCAGCUUUUUUUCCUUAUAUCUUGUGGAUGGAGCUGCGCCU
Molecule: long non-coding RNA, 834 nt
Organism: Esox lucius (northern pike)
Lineage: Eukaryota; Metazoa; Chordata; Actinopteri; Esociformes; Esocidae
Exons: 3
Source: RefSeq, a predicted model, not a curated record